GAUGAAGAACGUAGCGAAAUGCGAUACGUAAUGUGAAUUGCAGAAUUCAGUGAAUCAUCGAGUCUUUGAACGCACAUUGCGCCCCCUGGUAUUCCGGGGGGCAUGCCUGUCCGAGCGUCAUUGCUGCCCUCAAGCACGGCUUGUGUGUUGGGCCUCCGUCCUCCUCCCGGGGGACGGGCCCGAAAGGCAGCGGCGGCACCGCGUCCGGUCCUCGAGCGUAUGGGGCUUCGUCACCCGCUCUUGUAGGCCCGGCCGGCGCUUGCCGACACAUCAAUCUUUUUUCCAGGUUGACCUCGGAUCAGGUAGGGAUACCCCCUGAACUUAAGCAUAUCAAUAAGCGGAGGA
Molecule: unclassified non-coding RNA, 345 nt
Filed under: soil metagenome
Description: partial contains 5.8S ribosomal RNA, internal transcribed spacer 2, and large subunit ribosomal RNA
Rfam family: 5.8S ribosomal RNA (bases 1-120)
Source: RNAcentral